Manis pentadactyla (Chinese pangolin) is the source of this 924-nucleotide long non-coding RNA. RefSeq lists it as uncharacterized. The transcript is spliced from 4 exons. NCBI's taxonomy places the organism in Eukaryota, Metazoa, Chordata, Mammalia, Pholidota, Manidae. The record is from RefSeq and is a predicted model, not a curated record.
AUGGUUUCAUUAUUGCUUUUAUGUUUGAUUGGGCCUUCUUGGCAAACUCAAAUGCCUUCAAGGGCAGGCGGGUAAAUUAGUGAGUAAAGUGAGCAAAGGGAAGGGCACGCUAGGGGCAGGAGAAGGGCUGAAGAAGCAGCCACAGCUUGGCACCAAAUGUUUUCUUUGGAAAUAUGGACCCAGUAACCAGAUCCUCUGAAGUGUCCAGAGAAGCCAGAAAUCUGGAUUUCUUUGCAUGAAAUUGUUAAAGAACAAAAUUCAACCAGGUCCAUUUGAUUCUUAGACCAGCGAGAACAACUUGAACGGUAGAGGAAAAUGUUUCUUCCCUAAGAGUUGGCAUAAUCGGCGGAGACCAUAUCUCGCUGGACGGUGCUCGCCCUAGCACUGCAGCCGCUGAGGGAUUCUGGGGUAUCUGGCAUCGCUGGCAGAAGGAUACAAUUGGAAACCUUGGUUAUAUUACCAAAGCUUUGACUGUAAUGUGAUACCUAAGAGAGAGACACGUGGAUUCAGAUAUGACCAGGCAUCUUUAAGGAACUAAGAUUGACCUUACAGAGCCCACGAAGCCCUCAGGAAAACCAGCCUGGUACCUUACCUCCAGGGCUCCCAGCAGCCUUACCAGAAAUGCCUCUUAUUAAUUGCGUGACUGCUUGCACAAUAUAGUCCUAACUUUGGAAGCCCACCUGCAAGACCACCUCCUGUUUAACUGAACUGACCUAAUCCCAGGACCAAGAGGCUGCUUCCGCAAGACUGAACAAUCUACUUGCUCAAUUUUUAAUGUGAGACUUCCAGGGAAGUUUCAGAGGAGGGAAAUAUAGGGGCCAAAGGCAGGCCACCCCCAAAUGUGUCUCUUUGGCAUGUGGACUACUUUGAACUGAAGGCAAUGAAGGCUCUGCAGGCUCAAGAGAAGAUUUGGCUCCUCCCCUA